Non-coding RNA from Oryctolagus cuniculus (rabbit), 939 nucleotides. NCBI's taxonomy places the organism in Eukaryota, Metazoa, Chordata, Mammalia, Lagomorpha, Leporidae. The record is from RefSeq and is a predicted model, not a curated record.
UCCCCCAUUCGUGGAGGAACAACACUAGACCCUGCGCUGUUCUUUUGUCUGCUCAGCCCUUCCCGGGUUUGCUGCUGGUCCUUCCCGGGUUGGCUGCCGACCCCUCCACCUCCGUGGAGGGGCAGCUCCCCCUGCCACUUUCCCCACUUCCGCGGGGGAGCGGCACACCGCCGGCCGGCUCUCUCGGGGGCUGCUCAGAUGUUAUCCGGAUGUUCCUGGUGCAUGUUGUCUCCUCCUUUAUAGUCCUCUUCCACCAAUCCCAACUCUGCUACCCACACGCCGAGCACGCUGCUCUCCUCCAAUCAGGAGCAGGAUCAGCUCCUGCAGCUUGUCAAACUGAUGAGGCAGCUGCGUAGAGGUUGUUUGGUCUCUUUCUCCCAGCGCCAUAUUGUGGGAGAGCAGAUGCAUAGAAUAAGUCUUAAUUCCAGUAACUUAGUCUAGUCUCAGUUGCUCCCCACAGAAAACAAAGCGUUGUGAAAGAUACAAGCAUGAAAUGAGGCUUUCCCCGGCUUGGAGGGCCUGGUCUUUGCCCAGAAGAGAAUGCAGAUGCGAGACACAGCAGUGGUCAGCAAGGCAGCAAAGCUGAGAGGAGCGUUGAGAGGAGCCGGCAGGUGCGCAGGGAAGAACCGAGCGCUCACUUGGUGACGAGGGUGGUGCUGUGGCUUAGCAGGUAAAGCCGCGGCCUGUGGUGCUGGCAUCCCAUACGGGCGCCUGUUCAGGUCCCGGCUGCUCUACUUCUGAUCCAGCUCUCUGCUGUGGCCUGGGAAAGCAGUGGAGGAUGGCCCAAGUCCUUGGGCCCCUGCACCCACGAGGGAGACCUGGGAGAAGCUCCUGGCUCCGGAUCAGCCCAGUGUUGUGGCCACUUGGGGACUGAACCAGCGAAUGAAAGGCCUUUCUCUCUCUCUGCCUUUCAAAUAAAUAAAUAUGUAUUUUAAAACA